Molecule: transfer RNA, 64 nt
Filed under: Cycloneda sanguinea
Lineage: Eukaryota; Metazoa; Arthropoda; Insecta; Coleoptera; Coccinellidae
Description: tRNA-His
Source: RNAcentral
AAAUUUAGGUAGUUUAUAAAAAUAUUAAUUUGUGGGAUUAAAGUAAUCUUUUUGAUUCUAAAUA